GAUGAAGAACGUAGCGAAAUGCGAUAAGUAGUGUGAAUUGCAGAAUUCAGUGAAUCAUCGAAUCUUUGAACGCACAUUGCGCCCCUUGGUAUCCCGAGGGGCAUGCCUGUUCGAGCGUCAUUUCACCACUCAAGCCUGGCUUGGUGUUGGGCGACGUCCUCUUUGGGGACGCGCCUCGAAACGCUCGGCGGCGUGGCACCGGCUUUAAGCGUAGCAGAAUCUUUCGCUUUGGAAGUCGGGGCCCCGUCUGCCGGAAGACCUGCUCGCAAGGUUGACCUCGGAUCAGGAAGGGAUACCCGCUGAACUUAAGCAUAUCAAUAAGCGGAGGA
This 329-nucleotide unclassified non-coding RNA is filed under the name soil metagenome. RNAcentral's name for it is "partial contains 5.8S ribosomal RNA, internal transcribed spacer 2, and large subunit ribosomal RNA". The stretch from base 1 to 120 matches the Rfam family "5.8S ribosomal RNA", at positions 35 to 154 of the family's 154-position model. The record is from RNAcentral.